UACGAAGGGGGCUAGCGUUGCUCGGAAUCACUGGGCGUAAAGGGUGCGUAGGCGGGUCUUUAAGUCAGUGGUGAAAGCCCGGAGCUCAACUCCGGAACUGCCAUUGAAACUGUUGGACUUGAGUACGAGAGAGGUGAGUGGAGUUCCCAGUGUAGAGGUGAAAUUCGUAGAUAUUGGGAAGAACACCGGUGGCGAAGGCGGCUCACUGGCUCGUAACUGACGCUCAGGCGCGACAGCGUGGGGAUCAAACAGG
RNAcentral lists this ribosomal RNA (253 nucleotides) under uncultured bacterium. RNAcentral describes it as "partial 16S ribosomal RNA". It matches the Rfam family "Bacterial small subunit ribosomal RNA", at positions 524 to 776 of the family's 1533-position model. The record is from RNAcentral.